Molecule: non-coding RNA, 2551 nt
Organism: Callithrix jacchus (white-tufted-ear marmoset)
Lineage: Eukaryota; Metazoa; Chordata; Mammalia; Primates; Cebidae
Source: RefSeq, a predicted model, not a curated record
GCGUGUGCGCAUGUGCGCACGCAAAUGGCCGCCUCAGAUUUAACUGUAAGUGCUACAGUCGUUGACUUAACAGGUCAUCUACUACCACUGGGCUGUUUCCAGCUUUUCCCCGUGAGCAACAGAAAUGUGAUGAAUAUCCUUCACGCCAAAGGAAGCAGCAUUUUCAUUUGGCAGGCACGCAGCUCGGCAGUAUCCCUGACCUCCUGCAGAGUCCAGGUGAGAUCAAGGCAGCAAAACAAACCGGAGGGGCUUCACUGCACCACCACUGAAUAAAACCCAGCACCUUCGCAACCAGGAUGAGACAACGGUAGUGUCUCACCUCUUCAUGGUUGUGAGGAUUCGACCAGCCAGCACUUGCAAAACGCACAAAACUUACCUCCACGUAGUAAGCACCCAACACGUGCUAGUUCUUGCUGUGUUCGUUGUCAUAACCAUUAUCAUUCUUCCAGCCUAAUUUUUGCCUUCAUCUGCAAAGCCUUCUCUAAACACUCUAAUUCACAGAUACCUCUUUUAUGCCGAACGGGUAUCACCCUUAAUAAAUGCCACCUAUUUGGAUUUGUUGUCCAUUCUUCAUCAAUUAUUAAUAAACACACUUGAAGUCCUUGUCCAGAAUACACUGAAAAGAGCACAGCCUUUGCAAACCCAGGUGGGCUUUCUGGGUCUCGCUGCCUGGUCGCUGGACUCAGAGUGCAUCUUUUACAUUCUCCAAAUUCCAGUUGCCUCAAAUUGUGAGAAAGCCUUCCUCACAUAACAGCUCUGAGAGGAUUAAAUAAACCCAGGCUUCUUCAGCACCUGGCACGGUGCCCCGACACAAAGAAAGGACUCACUAAAUGUUUAUUGAAUUUUAAAAUAAUUAUGAUUGAUGGCCACUAGUAUCAUCGUUUUGAAUAUUAUCCCUGAAAGCCCUAAACUCAAACACUUCUUGGCACUGCAGGUUCUGAUAAUUUAUCCUUUCUAUUAAAACUGCUAGCUGGGAGCAGAGACAGUGAUGUUGCCCCCAUGUCCUUUCUGCAUGGGGGUUUAGGGGGUCUCCAUGUUCUUUCCAAAUGCCUGUAAGUUAAUCUGCCUCUUCAAGUGCAGGAGAAUGGGGCCCCAAGUCCUGCAUAGCACCCAGCCUUUCUAUCCCUGUGACCUUGAGCAAAUAAGAUCCUCUCUCUGAUAUGGGAUAUUUACCCUUCUUCUUUUUUUUUUUUAAAGACAUUGUUGUCCCUUUCAAAAGGAUAUUAGGAAAAUUACAAAUAGAUUAGCACAGAAAACUGCUUUAUAAACUCUAAAGCACUGUGCCAAAGAGACGCUUGUUUUUAUUCUGUAUAGAGACAGGACUAUUUUACUUUAUAAGUGUGUGUGGGAUUAGGGACCAUGAAUAUUUUUACACCUUUUCCAUAUGAUUGUUUUUGUAAACGCACAUUUUUGUAGUAGCAUACUAGAGGAAUGAUUUAUUAGUAAAUUCUGACCUGAUUUAAUGAAUACAUUCAUCUAUUCCGCAAACAUUGAGAGCGCUUCUGUAUAUUCAGGGCACCCUGCUCAGUGCUGAUGAGACGGAUAUAAAUAAGACAAGUUUUUCCACCCUUAAGAAUUAUAAGGUUUAACUUGAUAAGCUGAAAAAAAAAUGUCUUUUGUUAGUUUCAGUUUCUACACGUUAGAUUGCACCAUUUUUUGUUUUUAUUAAGAUAAGGUGACCGCCUGGGUUACUUCCUUACCCUGGCUGUGAAUAACAAAGUCUGUCAUGUCCCUCUCCUUCAGAAACAUCCCGUCACGGCAUGGCUUCAUUCCACACUUUUACGUGAGGCCGUAUUUGCGAACAGAACCUCCCCCAAUAGUUAUUCGUGUAAUUCUAUUAAUAUGAUCUCAAUCACCAUAUGGCGGUGUGAUAGCAAUUAUAUUGUAACCAGCCGACUUAGGAGAAAGGAGGCCGUCUUCCCAGCCAAAGGCUGCACCCUCAUUAUAAAGAUCCCCCAAAUAAUGGUUUCCCCACUGCCUCCUCCGUGAGAUGGAUUUUUCCCAAUUAUUUGAUCCGGAUAUGCUUGGUGGUACUCAAAAGACUAAGUGUUAGAAAGAGGUUGGAAUAUUUGUUUUCCUUUUUCUGUGGGAAAUGUACAAUGUUUGCAGUGCUGGUCUGUGCCUUGAUAAAUGCAAGGCUUGUACAGCAUUUUUUGUUGUUGUUAAUUAGGGUGGGUUGUGCACAGCUCAAUCUCUGUGGAAACAAAACAUAAAACUUAGCUUAAACCAACGCAAAGCACAUAUAUUUAUUUUUGAACUCCAAACGCAAGUAGUUCGUCUCAGUUAUAAAACUCCUGACAGUGGUGUAAAAACGUGUAACACGGCACACCACAUUCCUCUCUAGGACUCUGUGUAAAAGAACUUCCUUUUCUCCCCCCAAAGAAUUACAUUCGGCACCACAUGUCAAAACACAAUUGUAAUUGUGUAGCACAAUAUUUCAUAAACCUGAAAAUGUUUUAAAAACCCAUUGUAUUUCCGAAGCUUCCAAAGUCAUUUUCUGGGUUAGCAUUUUUUUUCUGUACUAAGCCUGCCUUUUUUUUUCUUUCUUUCU